This is a long non-coding RNA of Protopterus annectens (West African lungfish), 776 nucleotides long. RefSeq lists it as uncharacterized. The transcript is spliced from 2 exons. The record is from RefSeq and is a predicted model, not a curated record. Lineage: Eukaryota; Metazoa; Chordata; Ceratodontiformes; Protopteridae.
UUUCAGCAAGUACAGACAUGUAACUCUGGGUACUUCCCUUGCUUCAGCCCCUCUCAGCAGUGACUACAUACCGUUGUUUCUUUCUGGUAUGUGAUGCCAUGGCAACUGAAGGGUGCCUAGAUAGGCCUAAUAACUUUCAAGAUUUCAUUUCCGUGAAUUUCCGGUUCUGUCUCAUAGACUCUAUGCUUGGAUUAGUUAUUCAUUACUUAUUUACGGUCCAUUUUAACUAACAACUGUGAGCAGAUCUGAAAUACAAGGUGCAGCUCUUUUUACCAAAUAUGACAUAUUCUACCCCAUGGUCUUUAAAAAAACACUGCAACUAGGAGAGAGUAAACAGACUUGAAAUAACAUUUAAACGAAGGCGUCCUAAAAAUAUAAGUCUUUAAGGAUGUUUGUGAGUGGAGAAAGAAGAAAUAAAAAAAAAAGAAAGAAAGAACAAAAGAAAAAAAGAGAAAGAAGACCGUAUUCCCUAAACUAGCAAGCACAGAUGGAAUUUUCACCUCAAGAGAGGAACAAAGCAAAGUCCUUGAGAUGAUUUUUUUGACAUCCAUGUCUCAGCAACCACAUAUCAACUUGGUUAUGAUUGGAAACUCAGAACUAUUCCUCCAUAUUGUUUUGCUGGUUUGCAGCCAUACCCAGAGCACUUCAUUACUACAAAUGUACACAUGUGGCUAAAGGUUGACAUAUUCACCUUUCUUGUGAUUCAGUGGUACCUGCCUCAGUAUCUUUGCAACAGAUGUACAAAUGUAUGCAGUAAAACUCUCUCUAUGAAAUUA